UACAGAGGGUGCAAGCGUUAAUCGGAAUUACUGGGCGUAAAGCGUGCGUAGACGGUUAUUUAAGUCAGGUGUGAAAGCCCCGGGCUCAACCUGGGAAUUGCAUUUGAGACUGCAUCGCUAGAGUACGGUAGAGGGGGAUGGAAUUCCGCGUGUAGCAGUGAAAUGCGUAGAUAUGCGGAGGAACACCGAUGGCGAAGGCAAUCCCCUGGACCUGUACUGACGCUCAUGCACGAAAGCGUGGGGAGCAAACAGG
RNAcentral lists this ribosomal RNA (253 nucleotides) under uncultured bacterium. RNAcentral describes it as "partial 16S ribosomal RNA". It matches the Rfam family "Bacterial small subunit ribosomal RNA", at positions 524 to 776 of the family's 1533-position model. The record is from RNAcentral.